This 876-nucleotide ribosomal RNA is filed under the name Salmonella enterica subsp. enterica serovar Dublin. RNAcentral's name for it is "partial 23S ribosomal RNA". It matches the Rfam family "Bacterial large subunit ribosomal RNA", at positions 446 to 1221 of the family's 2925-position model. Lineage: Bacteria; Pseudomonadati; Pseudomonadota; Gammaproteobacteria; Enterobacterales; Enterobacteriaceae. The record is from RNAcentral.
GGGGGGACCAUCCUCCAAGGCUAAAUACUCCUGACUGACCGAUAGUGAACCAGUACCGUGAGGGAAAGGCGAAAAGAACCCCGGCGAGGGGAGUGAAAAAGAACCUGAAACCGUGUACGUACAAGCAGUGGGAGCCCCACCACUAAGCCAGUGGUGAACUCCACAUACGCAUCCUUUGCUGAGGAUACGGUUAACGGAGCGAAAGCGACGUUCAACCGCAAAAGAAGCAGAGGGGGCUUAGUGGUGGGGUGACUGCGUACCUUUUGUAUAAUGGGUCAGCGACUUAUAUUCUGUAGCAAGGUUAACCGAAUAGGGGAGCCGGAGGGAAACCGAGUCUUAACCGGGCGUUAAGUUGCAGGGUAUAGACCCGAAACCCGGUGAUCUAGCCAUGGGCAGGUUGAAGGUUGGGUAACACUAACUGGAGGACCGAACCGACUAAUGUUGAAAAAUUAGCGGAUGACCUGUGGCUGGGGGUGAAAGGCCAAUCAAACCGGGAGAUAGCUGGUUCUCCCCGAAAGCUAUUUAGGUAGCGCCUCGUGAAUUCAUCUCCGGGGGUAGAGCACUGUUUCGGCUAGGGGGCCAUCCCGGCUUACCAACCCGAUGCAAACUGCGAAUACCGGAGAAUGUUAUCACGGGAGACACACGGCGGGUGCUAACGUCCGUCGUGAAGAGGGAAACAACCCAGACCGCCAGCUAAGGUCCCAAAGUCAUGGUUAAGUGGGAAACGAUGUGGGAAGGCCCAGACAGCCAGGAUGUUGGCUUAGAAGCAGCCAUCAUUUAAAGAAAGCGUAAUAGCUCACUGGUCGAGUCGGCCUGCGCGGAAGAUGUAACGGGGCUAAACCAUGCACCGAAGCUGCGGCAGCGACGCUUAUGCGU